AUUGAACGCUGGCGGAAUGCUUUACACAUGCAAGUCGAACGGCAGCACGGACUUCGGUCUGGUGGCGAGUGGCGAACGGGUGAGUAAUGUAUCGGAACGUGCCCAGUCGUGGGGGAUAACGUAGUGAAAAUUACGCUAAUACCGCAUACGAUCUAUGGAUGAAAGCGGGGGAUCGCAAGACCUCGCGCGAUUGGAGCGGCCGAUAUCAGAUUAGGUAGUUGGUGGGGUAAAGGCCCAGCAAGCCAACGAUCUGUAGCUGGUCUGAGAGGACGACCAGCCACACUGGAACUGAGACAAGGUCCAGACUCCUACGGGAGGCAGCAGUGGGGAAUUUUGGACAAUGGGCGAAAGCCUGAUCCAGCCAUUCCGCGUGCAGGAUGAAGGCCCUCGGGUUGUAAACUGCUUUUGUACAGAACGAAAAGGUUUCUACUAAUACUAGGAGCUCAUGACGGUACUGUAAGAAUAAGCACCGGCUAACUACGUGCCAGCAGCCGCGGUAA
This 500-nucleotide ribosomal RNA is filed under the name uncultured bacterium. Its description in RNAcentral is "partial 16S ribosomal RNA". It matches the Rfam family "Bacterial small subunit ribosomal RNA", at positions 30 to 523 of the family's 1533-position model. The record is from RNAcentral.